Molecule: ribosomal RNA, 318 nt
Filed under: Triticum aestivum (bread wheat)
Lineage: Eukaryota; Viridiplantae; Streptophyta; Magnoliopsida; Poales; Poaceae
Description: partial small subunit ribosomal RNA
Source: RNAcentral
AUGUGUUUUUUCGACCUAUGCCAGAACUGGUUGUCUAGCUAUACUGGCAAAGAUAGAGUAGUUGUUUUAUUGGGUACUGCUGCUCUCUUGUGGUCUAUAUGGAAAACAAGGAACAAAUCCUGUUUUCAAAGUGUUAUGCCUAGAGAUCCUACUGACAUUAUCUUUCUUGUUUGUUCCCUAAUUGACUCAUGGAAAAAUUUGCAGAAAAGAGGGAUGCAAAGCAUGCUUCAUCAGGUGUCUAGGCGUAUCGUGAGGGUGACUCGUGAUAUCUUCAGAGGAGGGCAUGGUUUGGCGCCUCAUGUGAGAAGGAUUUUGUGA